CUUUGUUUUGCUGCAGUGUUCAUUAGAGACCGUAGGUGAGGAGUUUUAUUUCAAAUAUAGAUACUUCUCGCUGAGGUUAUCCUGUUUGUUGUGGCGGCUUAUUGACCUCGGUGAUUUAUCACUGGGAAAAAAGCUGGAGGGAGGAGUAGGAGGGUAGAAUAGCUCCUAAAAAUAAAUAUAUCCGUUAAUUCUCUGUUCGCCUAACCUCUCCCUCACCGGCCAGCUGGAGGAAUAGACUUUUAAUCUCCUUCAUCUGAGGCUGAGGCGAUCAACCUCCACCCGGCGUUUUAAGGGCAGCACGUUUUGUAAAGGGGGGUGGGAAGAGAAAUAAGCACGAAAAAGGAAGAUAUUUGCCUGACAAAAAGGGGAGGAGGCGGAGGCAGCUUCACAAAAUGGCGGCGGCCAGGCGACAAAAUGGCGCCGGGCGGCCAGCGCGGGGAGGAAGAUGGAGGAGCCGCGGCCGGGCGGGCACCGCGGCCGUGCCAGGAGCGCGGCGGAGGGGCUGCUCUUGAUGGGUGGAAAACACCGCUUCUCUCUCUCCUCACGGCAUGGAAAAUACCGAAACACGCUUUAGGAGAAAAAAAUAACACAGCAACAACCCCCAAACAGCUGAGGAUUGAUGUAUCUUCAGGGAAGAAGCCGUCGCCGCUCGCCUGGCUCCUCACGACAACCUGCCCGCCAUUUGCUUAAUUAAAAGCAUAUACUUGAUGUGAUCAGAUGUGGUAAUACCGUAAAAAAAAAAACCCAAACCAAACCAAAAUACCCCGUAACAUCCAAACGCUCGUUGUUGGAGGCUGCAGCCAAGCUCGGCUGCUUAUUCCAGAAGUUUCUACAGGGGAGGGAGCACCCACUGCGGAGCCUUUGCCGCAGCGCCGGGAGGAGAUGCCGAGGAUGCGCCACCUCUCCCCUUCCCAAGCCUCCCCCCUUCGCUCAAUUUUCCCCAUCCUUGGGAAAAAAACGCUGCUGGGAGGUGUGUUAAGGGUGUUUUUUAUUAAAAAAUCUUCCUCCUUCCCCCUCCCCACUUUGCUAAAUGAAUUAAAAGCAGCGCUGUCUCCCGAUGGAGAUGGAUGAGGCUGCUCGCUCGCACGCUCCGCUGCAGCCUCCGGCUGCCCCAGCGAGGGGACCGCGGCCACAAGUGACCUUCCCCAGGUGCCCCGACACGCUGCUGCUUGGGAUUCAUUUUAAAUAGGCUUAUUAUUUUUUAUCUCCCCCCUCCCCUUAAAGAACAGUUCGCUCUUUCAGUGAUUCUUUUUUCUUGACGCUUCUUCAUGAUCCUUUUUUUUUGUGUGUGUGUUUUGAAUUGCGUCUUAAAACUGCCCAGCUGGAGACAGGUCUCGAUUAGAGCUGGAACAAUAGUUCCGUUUUAUUAAUAACGGGAAGGAUUUACAAUCCUCCAGCACCUUCCUUGGAAGGCUUUCAGGAAUCAUUUGCAAACACGCACACAUUUAAGAUCCCGCAGCCAAGGGCUGGGAGGUGGGUAAGUAUGUGAAUGGUGCCACCGCCAAAAAUCGCGUCGGUGGCCAAUCUGCCUUUCCGAGUGCUGAAAAAAAGACAGAUUGGGUGGGUUCUAGGGCUGUGACCUCAAUCUGUCCCGUGUUCUCUGUAGAUGCCGAUUGUUUUGCUGCAUCCUGAGAACUGGGCUGUACAGAGGACCGCGCCGCCUUGCCGGAGCGGAGCUGUGGACUCGCUUGCUGCUCAGUAAACAUCUGCUUAUAGAUCUUUAUUUCUUUGAUUAUCUUUUUCUAAUUCAUUACCUUUUUGCAGUCCCCAAGCGACCUCCUUUAGUGCUGGCUCCGCUGUGGUUUGACCGCAGCUUCGCGUUAAAGCGCUAAUGUGUCUAAUGACCUUGCUUGGGGACCGGGCCCACCGGGCUGCUGCGGAUGCUCCGUUUCCAUUACAGAACCCCACACGCCGUGUUUUCCCAUUUUUCCAACGCAUCCUUCCCUCGCCUGGGAAUGUUGCAAUAUUAUAGUGUCUUCUGCCUUAUUUUUUGUCCUUUUCCCCCCCUCUUUCCUAGGGAUACACAGGAUUGUGUAACCCAUGGCAGAUGUAACCAUCUCAGAGCUGUCUGGGCAGUCGGAUCUGGCCUUGCUGAGACACGGGUUGUGUAAGUGGCGUGUUGUACACAGGCCACAAAACCCCACAACAUUUCAGUGGUUACGUCUGUCUGGGAGAGCGUGAGUAGGUCCCAGGGCUUCCCCUUCCCACCGCUUUGCCGGUUCACAAAACGAGAGGCUGAUGCUUCUGGAAAAAGCUCUGCCUUGUGGCCUUUAAAAAAAAAAACCUGCUGUGGAUUAGUCAUCCUUGUUUUUAAAGGAAGCUGCGUUUGCCAGCCCUGGCCGUGUAACGCGUGUGUGUUAUCAACCAUUGGGUUUAUUUGCUGGUAAGGUGCUGGGCUCUCUGGGGCGGCGCCACCGCGGCUCCCUCGAGCUGUUCCCGGCGGGUGGAAGAGCCACCACGGUCCAGCUUUUCAUGCCCUUCCCUCCAUUCUCUUGUUUUUCAGCGCUGGAAAUGUGGAGAACGCACCAAACGCACGUGGGGACAGACAAACGUAUUCUGGGGUCACUUCAACUCCGGAGGAGAAGCCCUGGGAUGUGUUGGUUUGGAGAUGCUCCUUGUGCUCACCGGAGGUACCAAGAAGCUGCUUGUUGGGGAUGUUUCCACGUUUUUGAGGUUGGCAACACCCCGUGGGACUCGGAAUUAACUUUUCUUUGGUAGUCGAGGACAAACGAGUGAGAAUCACCUUGGGAGCGCUGAACUUUUACCCCCCUCUCCUUCGGACUGAAGAGCUUCUAGAACUACAUCGGUGAGGCUUCCAAGUUAAACAAAACCUGAAUUCCCGCUGCCAAAGAGCAAGCGAGCGAUAGAAACCUCCACAUCUCCUCCGUGAGGGGGGACACCGCGGUCUCCCGAGAUUAUUCUGGUAUCCCCAAGAGUUAAAAAUGCUGCAUCGUGAGACCUGCGGAGGUCAAACGAAAGCCAGAGCUCACCGAGAAACUGUGCUCCGUAUCGCUCAAGGGGUUUUUGAGCAUAGCAGGUCUCCACGCACCAUUAUUUUUGUGUCUUUGUCAGGACCAAAGGAGCGAUAACCGUGUGUUCAGUCUGCUUUGUUUAAAACACCGUCGAGUUGCUUUGCUAUCAAAAUGGUGUCUGGUGAAAGAAAAGCUCUGGUGGUGGCUGGCUCGGUGGUUAUUUUGUGCCAACCGAUCCCUCGUGGCUUUGGGCUGUGGGUUCGUGUUAAACCCUUGUCCUCCAGCGUAAUGUCUGAUUUUUCUUGCACACGGGGCCCUUAAGUAGAGAUAAUAAACCAAUCAGGCGUUAAAAAUGGCAAAGUACAGAUACACCGAUACCUCCAGCCCUAGAGGAUUUACAUCUUUGCAGUGGUUGUGUUCAGGUAUCAAAUCACAUGGGCCUUGCUUUUCUUGGGUGUAUUUCCUUUGUUUUACCCCUAAAAUUUCAUAUCUUGCAUCCUAAAAGACCAAAGUCCUCUGUGUUUAGCUGCGUUUGGGAAAAGCUCAAGCGAGGUGAGCGGGUACGGUUCUUCGGUACGUGAUCACACACAAGUUGGGGGCGAGAGGAAGGAGGGCAGAAGCUGGCACGGUGCUAUUUCUAAUUUUUCCCAACAACAGGCAAAAAAAAAUAGGUAUUAAAUCGAAUAUAUUUACUACAUUAUAAGCAAGAAUAAGCCCUUUUGCAGCCCUGUGAUGGCACGUGGUGUUUUGGUUGCGUGGCUCAGCGAUCGCGCUGCGCUCUGCUGCUGACAAAACGUCUCCGUUCUGUAUGGCGAAGUGUUUUGAAAACAGAAAUGUGCUUUUCUAGAUGUACAAACGGGUUCGGUGUCAACGCAGUUCCGGGGGUUCCUGAGCUGUGGUUACCGGGCUGCAGACGGUAACCGCUGCGAACCCGCUGGCUAUGCUGGUGGUAUUUUGUGGCAGCUCCCAUCGCCGGUGCGGUGUGGAUAAGAACUCUAAAUAGGAAAAAGCGCUAGAAAAUAAAAUUACUAACUAUUAAGUUUCACAAACGUGAUGGGAGUCUGCUGGGUAGAGUUAUCUCGUCGUGAAGCUUUGGAGCGCUGACUCUCAGAGAGGAAAGAACCGAAAUCGAGAGCUUUAUUAAUACAAAUCCUGUACUUUGUGUUGCUUAGGAUCCAGGAGCAGGCUCGGUGUUCAAAGCGUUAUCGGCAUGUGAGCCAGUAUCCUCCGUCUUGGCAACAAAUGAGCCCAAAUAUCAAACAGCGCCGAUUCCUUCUUGGAGAAAAUUAUCCAUUGCAUAAAACAUAAUGGGGCUGGUUUGCCUGCAAAUGGAGCCCCCAAAGCGCUUGUUUCAACCCCUCUUCUGCCAGCAGAGGCGAUGGUUUGGGUGCGAUCGUGGACGUCCCUCCCGAUGGUGUGACAGCCGUGACCCUGCAUGACUCUCCAUGGCAGGACCCGUGGGUUUCUCGUGUCCCUCGGAGCUGCCACCCUGGUAACGCCGUCACAGCAAGGACACUCCAUCGGAGAGGGGAGAAUUCGGCGUCAAAAAGCCAUUUGAUGCGUGGUUUGGGUUUCUUCUUCUCCGAAAUCUAAGGUAGUGACACAUAGCGAUGGCUCUUUGGGCUUUCGACCAGUGAAAACACACAAAGUUAAGCCCAUUUCCACGGAGAACCGCGGAAAGCGCUGGUGGAGCACGUCGGCAGCGCAUUUUCUCAUUUAUUUCUCAUAACAAACUUUGCGUGCAAAGAGUUGUUGGGGUUUUUUAUUAUGAAUCGGUAGAUCUGUUUGGCGGAGCAGCGUCAUCGCUGGGGAAACUGAGGCACGGCGCUGGGCUGGGCCGCAGCAGCGCUGGGUCCAGCAAGGCUCGAGUCAGAGCUCUGAUUCAAUCGAGAGAUGAGCACGUUUGUUAAACCACCCAGAACUCCGUGACUUUGGCCAGUUCUCCAGGUGGACUCGGUGGCAAAGGCGGCAAAGUCGAGCGCCGCUCGCCCCAACAAAUAAAAGUGGUUUUGAUGGAUAGAAAA
Molecule: long non-coding RNA, 4996 nt
Organism: Columba livia (rock pigeon)
Lineage: Eukaryota; Metazoa; Chordata; Aves; Columbiformes; Columbidae
Exons: 5
Source: RefSeq, a predicted model, not a curated record